GGAGAGGUGGCUCAGAGGUUAAGAGCACUGGCUGCUGUUCCAGAGGUCCUGAGUUCAAUUCCCAGCAACCACA
Molecule: non-coding RNA, 73 nt
Organism: Mesocricetus auratus (golden hamster)
Lineage: Eukaryota; Metazoa; Chordata; Mammalia; Rodentia; Cricetidae
Source: Rfam